CUUGAGUAAAAAUAAGAGGUCCAGCCUGCCCAGUGACAAAUGUUCAACGGCCGCGGUAUCCUAACCGUGCGAAGGUAGCGUAAUCACUUGUUCUUUAAAUGAGGACUAGUAUGAAUGGCACCACGAGGGUCGCACUGUCUCCUUCCCCUAAUCAAUGAAACUAAUCUUCCCGUGAAGAAGCGGGAAUUUAUCUAUAAGACGAGAAGACCCUAUGGAGCUUUAAAUUUCUCUUCAAACGCCAGACAUAAACCCUAAACAUCUUACACCAACCGGCGCCAUGAAGAUGAAUUUUAGGUUGGGGUGACCACGGAGAACAAGACAACCUCCACGCUGAAUAGGCCUAAAACCUUGAACUAAGGACCACAGCCCGACGAACUAAAAAAUUAACACCCAUUGACCCAAUUCUUUUUGAUCAACGAAC
This 421-nucleotide ribosomal RNA is filed under the name Scinax x-signatus group sp. ABGD cluster 63. RNAcentral's name for it is "partial large subunit ribosomal RNA". It matches the Rfam family "Bacterial large subunit ribosomal RNA", at positions 1832 to 2457 of the family's 2925-position model. Lineage: Eukaryota; Metazoa; Chordata; Amphibia; Anura; Hylidae. The record is from RNAcentral.